AUCGCGAAACCUUCGCCAAUCGAUGAUAUCCGUAAUGGAUUGUCUUCUUAUUCUCGCAGUCGGGGCAUCUCUGCCGAUUGAGGGCACCGGCCUUCCUCCGGUGGAGCUCUGCCUUGUUCUGACACCAACAACAAGCACUGAUUACCUGCGUUGCGUUUGCGUGACGCAUCCACAGAUCCGACAGGGUUUGGAUUCCGCACAAGGGUUCUUCAACCCUUAAAUAGCCGCGUAUUCAAACUAGCCGAUCAUACGCUCCUUGCCUUCGUCACAUCCGUUCCAUCCAAGCAGUGUGGAAGAGGAAGUGAGAUUUGGCAGAUUACUGGUUCCGGUUCAAUCUUCUGAACCAACCGCGAAACCUUCGCCAAUCGAUGAUAUCCGUAAUGGAUUGUCUUCUUAUUCUCGCAGUCGGGGCAUCUCUGCCGGUUGAGGGCACCGGCCUUCCUCCGGUGGAGCUCUGCCUUGUUCUGACACCAACAACAAGCACUGAUUACCUGCGUUGCGUUUGCGUGACGCAUCCACAGAUCCGACAGAGUUUGGAUUCCGCACAAGGGUUCUUCAACCCUUAAAUAGCCGCGUAUUCAAACUAGCCGAUCAUACGCUCCUUGCCUUCGUCACAUCCGUUCCAUCCAAGCAGUGUGGAAGAGGAAGUGAGAUUUGGCAGAUUACUGGUUCCGGUUCAAUCUUCUGAACCAACCGCGAAACCUUCGCCAAUCGAUGAUAUCCGUAAUGGAUUGUCUUCUUAUUCUCGCAGUCGGGGCAUCUCUGCCGGUUGAGGGCACCGGCCUUCCUCCGGUGGAGCUCUGCCUUGUUCUGACACCAACAAGCACUGAUUACCUGCGUUGCGUUUGCGUGACGCAUCCACAGAUCCGACAGAGUUUGGAUUCCGCACAAGGGUUCUUCAACCCUUAAAUAGCCGCGUAUUCAAACUAGCCGAUCAUACGCUCCUUGCCUUCGUCACAUCCGUUCCAUCCAAGCAGUGUGGAAGAAGAAGUGAGAUUUGGCAGAUUACUGGUUCCGGUUCAAUCUUCUGAACCAACCGCGAAACCUUCGCCAAUCGAUGAUAUCCGUAAUGGAUUGUCUUCUUAUUCUCGCAGUCGGGGCAUCUCUGCCGGUUGAGGGCACCGGCCUUCCUCCGGUGGAGCUCUGCCUUGUUCUGACACCAACAACAAGCACUGAUUACCUGCGUUGCGUUUGCGUGACGCAUCCACAGAUUCGACAGAGUUUGGAUUCCGCACAAGGGAUCUUCAUCCCUUAAAUAGCCGCGUAUUCAAACUAGCCGAUCAUACGCUCCUUGUCUUCGUCACAUCCGUUCCAUCCAAGCAGUGUGGAAGAGGAAGUGAGAUUUGGCAGAUUACUGGUUCCGGUUCAAUCUUCUGGUAAUAAGAUUCAUUGAUAGAGUUCACACAAAAUGCC
RNAcentral lists this long non-coding RNA (1413 nucleotides) under Aedes aegypti (yellow fever mosquito). RNAcentral's name for it is "lncRNA AAEL021841". The record is from RNAcentral. Lineage: Eukaryota; Metazoa; Arthropoda; Insecta; Diptera; Culicidae.